GGCGGCGAACUAGGUUUCGGUGAGAGAUCUCUUCCCCUAUUCACAGGACUUAGCGUUUCUCGCCGUUUCCAGAAGGUUCGAUCAGCGGUGGCAGGUUCGACGGAUCCGAAGCCCGAUCGCCGUGGCUCGGUGAUCUCCGAGGUUCAGGAGACUGCCGCCGAGGUGCACAGUUUUUCCCUCGGGUAAAGAAGAAGAAGAUUUGAGAGGGCUGUUAGCGCGCAUUUUAGAGUUGACAGCAUUGGCGACUUACCGAAGCUGGUGGAAGACAUUAUUCAGACGUCAAUAAAGACAGGACCUAGGGGUGCAAUAAGAUUAGCUCAAGGCGUACAAGCUGUUAUUGGGGUCGGUGGGGAGUGGCUUAGUGACUUGUCAAAGGUAUUGGUAUAUUGUUACUAAUUGUUAUAGACAGUUUUUAAUUUUGGGAGUAGUUCAACUUUCCUUUCAGACUAUUGAACCAAGAAUUAUUUAUAUGUUGUAGUUAGUAUAAUUAUGCUCAGCUUCCUAUGUCAGGUUCUGUAAAACUUAGUAUAGUUUAACACUUUGUUGAUGUACUUUGCACGAUUGAUAUGUAAAUUAUAUGGCUCAUAUAAGUUGGAAAGCUUAUCUUUACGAACUAGAACCUGACAUAUAAUGAGGUACUCUUACCACUUUACCAUACUUAUUCUGUAACAUAGCAGAAAACUUAAAGGACCUAACCUUUCCACUAGUCUAAUGAAGAAUUACAUUAGGCUUUGUGAAGUGUCUAUGAUUUAACAACAUUUGUAAAAUCACUAACUGAAUAAAUUUAAAAAUGCCAAAGUUAAAUGAUAGAAAGUUGUAUAUCUGCUAAAUCAUGGUUUGACAUAUAAUACCAGUUUGCCUAAUUCAUGGGAUGAAAUAUAUUUUAUCACAAAAGUCAAGGUCCAUUAAGUAGACAAUACUACAGAACUCUAGAGUUGUAUUAAGGCUUUUUAGGUGAGGGUGAGGGUGAGUGUGGGGGUGAUGGUGAGGUUGAGGUUGAGG
Long non-coding RNA from Asparagus officinalis (garden asparagus), 1002 nucleotides. RefSeq lists it as uncharacterized. The record is from RefSeq and is a predicted model, not a curated record. The transcript is spliced from 3 exons. Lineage: Eukaryota; Viridiplantae; Streptophyta; Magnoliopsida; Asparagales; Asparagaceae.